UACAGGGGGUGCUAGCGUUGUUCGGAAUUACUGGGCGUAAAGCGCGUGUAGGCGGUUGUCCAAGUCGGGUGUGAAAGCCUUGAGCUCAACUCAAGAAAUGCACUCGAUACUGGGUGACUUGAGGACCGGAGAGGAUAGUGGAAUUCCCAGUGUAGUGGUGAAAUACGUAGAGAUUGGGAAGAACACCAGUGGCGAAGGCGGCUCACUGGCUCAUAUCUGACGCUCAGGCGCGACAGCGUGGGGAUCAAACAGG
Molecule: ribosomal RNA, 253 nt
Filed under: uncultured bacterium
Lineage: Bacteria
Description: partial 16S ribosomal RNA
Rfam family: Bacterial small subunit ribosomal RNA
Source: RNAcentral